UAGCUACAACUAUCGCCGAAAUGGAGGGGCGAGAAGGUGUAGGAGGAGAAGGGGAGCAGGUGGAUAAGAAAAUGAAGAGGAACCGUGGCCAAUCGAGGCGCAAACCGCGGCCGAUCGAGGCGGCGGAUGAGCAAGAUAGGGGAGACAAAAAUAGUGAGGGGCAAAAUGGUCAUUUUGUCAUCACAGUUCACACCGUACCUCUGUGUAUAUUUUUUAUUUUAUAAGGGAGCAAAGGGUAGGUUUUUAAAUGAUAGGGGACAAAAUGAAAAAUCAAAUUUUGACAGGAAGGUUUUAUGUAAUUUAGCCUUAUUAAUUAUUACAUGUAUAAGUCACUAAAUUUAAUUUAAAUUUAAUCGCUAUUUAGCACAAAAAAAAUAGAAAAUUAAAAAC
Molecule: long non-coding RNA, 390 nt
Filed under: Ananas comosus (pineapple)
Lineage: Eukaryota; Viridiplantae; Streptophyta; Magnoliopsida; Poales; Bromeliaceae
Description: long non-coding RNA (ACOM_LNC014918)
Source: RNAcentral